GUUUCAGCAUUACCUAGAAUGGGGAAUAGUACGCAUUUGGUUUAAAAAAAAGUAGGAGAAAGGAAGACAGCUCUAUUGUUGUCUUUUAAUUAAUUUUUAACCUGCCUAAUUCAAAAAAAAAGGAAGUGAGGGAGCAGGGGUGCCGUGUGUAAUGUGCUGUGCUUAAUGCUGCCUUUCCUGUACUCCCACGGCCCACAGGACACCGUGGGGAUGCAGCGAUUUGGACUUCAUCCGCCUGUGCUCUAAUUCAAAGACAAACAUAUUUCCCAACUUGCCCAAGGCUCUGGCAGGGAGAACUCGGAUCCCCAAACUCAGGUCAUUCUAGUGCAGCAAUAACCAGCUGGGUUUUCAGCAACUUGGAUGGAGCCAUCUGUUUUCCCAGCCCACAUAAAAAAUAUGCAGGAGAAGGCUGCAAAUCAGCAAAUCCAUAGCUUCCAGAGGACCCAGCUGGGAUGCGUCCUCCCUGUGGGGACUAAUGAAAGGUAAAUCCAGUGUCAAAAGACAGGCCAGCAGCCAGGGUGAGGGGCUACGGGACAGCAGACUCUCCUCCCUUUUCUGUUUUUUGUGGAACAGGGCCCAUCUGGCUCCCUGGCCGUGGUGCCAUCAUGCCUGGGUGAGGGGCAGCCCGGUGCAUGCUGAGUGCCCGGAAAAUUACCAGCAGCCUCUGCCUCUCCCUCCAGGGGCACUGGAACUGGCCACAUAGGAACGCUCUUCUCCUUGGUCAGCUGACUGCCUGGCCAACUCUCCAGUGUUCACAUAACGAGCCUGGCGAGUCCAGGUGGCCAGGAAUAGAGGGGCUUUUUGUACUGUGAUCUUAGAGAAGGGAGCCCCGUAGCCUUUCCCACAUACCCCCCUUUCCUUUCCUACCACUCCACAUCAUAGAGGGGAAUUUAGAGCCAUGCUGGCUCCCAACAAACACAGAGGACAGUGGAUUCCACAUGAAAGGAGGAAUAAAAUGGGGGUGCUGUUACCCAGCCACCCAGGUGCAGAUGGCUUUUGGCAGCCCAGGACCAGGCUGUGAUUGAGAAGGGUCUGUCUCGAAGCCAUUACAGUUAAUUGUCCCAGAGUCACAGAAUCAUCAGCAGGCAAAAAGCCAACUCCAAAUCCCCAGGGAAUUUUCUGAUGGAUUAAUAAACAAAGUGGUGUGCACAGAAGGCAGCUGGUUCUCUGUGAAGAAGUGAUAUCAUUAUUUCUUCAUUCUUCACUCCUAGACCUGAUGCCUAUUUUACACCCUCACAUCUUGGAAGGCAUCUGUCCAACAGGAGUCUGGGUCAAGGGAAAUACUCUGCCCCCUUGUUUUUAUCUGUUAGCAUAAACAUGUCCACCAUGGGACUAGUGCAUUUUUCAUAACCCCUGGUUGAUCUUGGAAAAACACAUUUCAACCAGGUCACUUUCUUGACUCUGUUGGCAUUCCUCCUUAAGCCAAAUUGUGCAGAUGAACACAGAGGCAACCUUGACUGCCAUGAAUGGCGUCACCCCCAUCGACCUAUAGAAAGCCCUUCGGCAACCAGGCGCUGGAACAAUAGCAUAAUUGACCCCAACGGUGGCUGGAGCAGGAUCUGCUCAUUACAGCUAGUGCCCAGGAGAGCAGCAGGACAGUCCUGGGCUUCAACUCUAACUUCCUUUUCCAGCUUCUUUGUCUUCAGUUUUUCCAUAAAGAUCUCUGUCAUUACUUCUGAGAAGCAGGAGUGGUCUCAGAAAACUAUCCUGCUCCUUGGUAUGAACGUCCUACAGGUCCACACUGCCCCACAAACUGCCAGCUCAGAGCAGAGGAAGGGAACUGCAAAUCUGCUGCAGUCACUCCACCAUGAUGGGGCCCGGAUUUGUCUGUCCUUGAUGGCUGUGAAUUUUCAGUGCUUUGAAGCCCUCUCCAGGCUGUUUAUCCCCAACAAGUACAAGUCAAUGAAAAAGUAAACAGUUUUGACUUCACAAAUGAAGAAGAUGAUGUGCUUUAAAAACCAAAACAACAACAACAACAACAACAAAAAAAAAAAAACCCAGUGAACUAAUGAUGCAGGAAAAUGUUUUUUCUGGGCUGUUAGCUGUUUAAAG
This 2052-nucleotide long non-coding RNA is filed under the name Marmota monax (woodchuck). Lineage: Eukaryota; Metazoa; Chordata; Mammalia; Rodentia; Sciuridae. The record is from RNAcentral.